RNAcentral lists this ribosomal RNA (398 nucleotides) under uncultured bacterium. RNAcentral describes it as "partial 16S ribosomal RNA". It matches the Rfam family "Bacterial small subunit ribosomal RNA", at positions 338 to 733 of the family's 1533-position model. The record is from RNAcentral.
CCUACGGGUGGCAGCAGUGAGGAAUAUUGGUCAAUGGGCGGGAGCCUGAACCAGCCAAGCCGCGUGAAGGAUGAAGGUACUGCGUAUCGUAAACCUCUUUUGUCAGGGAACAAAGGCGGGGACUAGUCCCCUGUUGAGGGUACCUUAAGAACAAGCAUCGGCUAACUCCGUGCCAGCAGCCGCGGUAAUACGGAGGAUGCGAGCGUUAUCCGGAUUUAUUGGGUUUAAAGGGAGCGCAGGCGGCUCAUUAAGUCAGGGGGGAAAGGCCGGGGGUCAACCCCGGCGUUGCCGUUGAAAUUGGCUGGCUGGAGUUGAGGAGAGGUAGGCGGAAUGCGCGGUGUAGCGGUGAAAUGCUUAGAUAUCGCGCAGAACCCCGAUUGCGAAGGCAGCGUACCGGA